RNAcentral lists this transfer RNA (23 nucleotides) under Chanos chanos (milkfish). Its description in RNAcentral is "partial tRNA-Pro". The record is from RNAcentral. Lineage: Eukaryota; Metazoa; Chordata; Actinopteri; Gonorynchiformes; Chanidae.
GAUUCUAAACUAAACUAUACUUU